Molecule: ribosomal RNA, 571 nt
Filed under: Clostridioides difficile
Lineage: Bacteria; Bacillati; Bacillota; Clostridia; Peptostreptococcales; Peptostreptococcaceae
Description: bacterial SSU rRNA
Rfam family: Bacterial small subunit ribosomal RNA
Source: RNAcentral
AAUAUCAAAGGUGAGCCAGUACAGGAUGGACCCGCGUCUGAUUAGCUAGUUGGUAAGGUAACGGCUUACCAAGGCGACGAUCAGUAGCCGACCUGAGAGGGUGAUCGGCCACAUUGGAACUGAGACACGGUCCAAACUCCUACGGGAGGCAGCAGUGGGGCAUAUUGCACAAUGGGCGAAAGCCUGAUGCAGCAACGCCGCGUGAGUGAUGAAGGCCUUCGGGUCGUAAAACUCUGUCCUCAAGGAAGAUAAUGACGGUACUUGAGGAGGAAGCCCCGGCUAACUACGUGCCAGCAGCCGCGGUAAUACGUAGGGGGCUAGCGUUAUCCGGAUUUACUGGGCGUAAAGGGUGCGUAGGCGGUCUUUCAAGUCAGGAGUGAAAGGCUACGGCUCAACCGUAGUAAGCUCUUGAAACUGGGAGACUUGAGUGCAGGAGAGGAGAGUGGAAUUCCUAGUGUAGCGGUGAAAUGCGUAGAUAUUAGGAGGAACUCCAUUUGCGAAGGCGGUGCUCUGGACUAUAACUAACGCUGAGGCACGAAAGCGUGGGGAGCAAUCAGGAUUAGAUACCCUG